Daphnia pulex (common water flea) is the source of this 45-nucleotide non-coding RNA. The record is from Rfam. NCBI's taxonomy places the organism in Eukaryota, Metazoa, Arthropoda, Branchiopoda, Diplostraca, Daphniidae.
CCAACGGCUCUUUUGAGGGCCACCAAGAAUUUCAGAAAAAGCUGU